GGCGGGGUAGCUCACUCGGUUUAGAGCGGUCGUCUCAUAAGCGACAGGUAGUGGGUUCGAGUCCCACCCCCGCCA
This 75-nucleotide transfer RNA is filed under the name Candidatus Acetothermia bacterium. Its description in RNAcentral is "tRNA-Met". It matches the Rfam family "tRNA". From Rfam's summary of the family: Transfer RNA (tRNA) molecules are approximately 80 nucleotides in length. Their secondary structure includes four short double-helical elements and three loops (D, anti-codon, and T loops). Lineage: Bacteria; Candidatus Bipolaricaulota. The record is from RNAcentral.